Molecule: ribosomal RNA, 386 nt
Filed under: uncultured bacterium
Lineage: Bacteria
Description: bacterial SSU rRNA
Rfam family: Bacterial small subunit ribosomal RNA
Source: RNAcentral
CCUGGUCUUGACAUCCACGGAAUCCUGCAGAGAUGCGGGAGUGCCGCAAGGAACCGUGAGACAGGUGCUGCAUGGCUGUCGUCAGCUCGUGUCGUGAGAUGUUGGGUUAAGUCCCGCAACGAGCGCAACCCUUAUCACUAGUUGCCAGCACGUAAUGGUGGGAACUCUGGUGAGACUGCCUGGGUGAACCAGGAGGAAGGUGAGGAUGAGGUCAAGUCAGCAUGGCCCUUAUGUCUGGGGCUACACACGUGCUACAGUGGUCGGUACAAUAGGCAGCAAAGCCGAAAGGUGGAGCAAAUCCUUAAAGCCGAUCCCAGUUCGGAUUGUAGUCUGCAACUCGACUACAUGAAGUUGGAAUUGCUAGUAAUGGCGUGUCAGCAAUAACG